CAUUUGUAAAUGUAUGUUAGUUAUUUGUUAGUCAUUUAUAGAUCUCAAAUUUUUAAGUGGCACCUAGCUGAACAACAUACUACAAUGAGUCUUACACCAUCAUUGAAACUGUGGACUGCUUCCAACAAUGCAAAUUCUUACACAGCAGUCAAUCUGUCUGUGUUUUAAAUUCACAUCCUGUGGAUUGGAUGCUGGAAAACCCAAGAAAGACUAGCUACAAUGUUUACAAAUAAAACAUAAUCUAUUAGUCUGUUGCUCUUUUUGAUGAGAUAUGCCUAUAUAUGGCAUGCAUACACAUCAGGAUAAGGAUGCUAUUCCCAAACCAACUUGAGGUUUGAUAGAUUGGAACCUCCCUGUUACUCAAAGAACCCUAACAUUUGGCCAUAUACAAAGACCACACAGGAGAAGAUGUUUGAGGCCUGCAGAUCAUGAAGAUUUGGGAUCCUUAGCGAAGAAAACAAUGGGUGCACACUGUUUGAGAUCAAGUUGUUGUUUCUCAAUCCCCCUACAAGGAUCUGAACCGCUUCUCUUCCCAACUGUAAUAGCGGAGUGUGACACUGUGUGUGCAGAGCUAUGCACAGAUCUUCCUAUGGAUUGUUUGUUUAACAAGACAAGCUUGCAACAAGAGUGAUAAAGCAGCAUGGGGAAACACCCUGUCUUAUUUCCAGCAAGAA
Non-coding RNA from Anolis sagrei ordinatus, 674 nucleotides. The record is from RefSeq and is a predicted model, not a curated record. Lineage: Eukaryota; Metazoa; Chordata; Lepidosauria; Squamata; Anolidae.